CAGCAGCCAGGGAAUACGUAGGGCGCAAGCGUUAUCCGGAAUUAUUGGGCGUAAAGAGCUCGUAGGCGGUUUGUCGCGUCUGCCGUGAAAGUCCGGGGCUCAACCCCGGAUCUGCGGUGGGUACGGGCAGACUAGAGUGAUGUAGGGGAGACUGGAAUUCCUGGUGUAGCGGUGAAAUGCGCAGAUAUCAGGAGGAACACCGAUGGCGAAGGCAGGUCUCUGGGCAUUAACUGACGCUGAGGAGCGAAAGCAUGGGGAGCAAACAGGAUUAGAUACCCCAGUAGUCCCUGUCUCUUAUACA
Molecule: ribosomal RNA, 301 nt
Filed under: uncultured bacterium
Lineage: Bacteria
Description: partial 16S ribosomal RNA
Rfam family: Bacterial small subunit ribosomal RNA
Source: RNAcentral